Molecule: non-coding RNA, 75 nt
Organism: Paramuricea clavata
Lineage: Eukaryota; Metazoa; Cnidaria; Anthozoa; Malacalcyonacea; Plexauridae
Source: the annotation of a GenBank genome assembly
GACCGCGUAUAGCUCAGUUGGCAGAGCAUUGAACUAGUAUCCCAAAGAUCGUGGGUUCGAUUCCCACCGUGGUCA